UAGGUGGCCGAAAUCGAGCGCCCCCUCAUUACCGCGUGUGUAACAGGUGCACACGCAGGUAAAACCGUUUGGAAAAGAAGGGACGGUGUUUUUUUCCAAAACAGCGUGAAAGUAAGGGCUACACAACUUUAUGAAAGGCAAAAUGGGGAAUACGAAGUUUUUAAAGUGAAGCAAUCGGAUUGUUUUUCCUGCAUCGGCGUGAAAGGAGGAGUAGAAAAAUUAUGGGGUGCCAGUUACUGGAGGAAGUGGAACAUCUCAGCUGCUGACGUUCUGAUGAAUGUUUACAUGUGAUCCAGAUAGGACACACACAAAGGGGACAGGAGCGCUGUGCACGAUUGUCAUGGCAACAGCGGUGGGAAGACAAGAUGGAGGACUCAAAGCUGGCACUGUGUGUGAAAACACUAGAUGUUAUCUUUGAAAUCGUAUUGGAUUAUGAACAUUUUUCAGACUAGAAAGGUUUAUGGUCAUAAUAGAUUAUUUUAACAGGUGGAGAUUUGCCCAUACUACUGCUUACAGUGUGUAAUUAGACCAUGAAGAAUGUCCACCUCUCGUCUUUUUCCAUUGCAAUAAUAACAUGUUGCCAGUCUCUUCUCUUAAAGCUGUUCAACGACCACUCAGUUGAAACUAGAGAGACCACUUGUUGGGAAAUCCAGAGACCAAAAUGUGUCUCCGUUCCUUUCUGAUGCCAUCGCAGGGGAGCAUUAAGGUAAUGGCAAGAUGCUGUGACAAAACACCUUUUUUACUUGUGAGGCUUUUGAACUCGCUGUGCAUCUAUCUGAGAUUUGCCACAAGCAAACUACCUUGGCACUGUUGAGUUCAUAGCGAUGCUGCCUCCUGGGAUAAACUGCUGAACUGGUGUAGCGUUGCAAGAGAUGUUUUUGUCUCUUUGUCGUGCACAUCCAAUGAUAGAGUACAUUUUGCCAAAGCUAUAAGGAUUCAUAAUCUUUUGUAUAAAUGGAACUUCUGUGACACAUCCCGAGCUACUGCGAAUUAUCAUACACAACUUUUAAAUACAAACUUUGUUCUUGAAACAUAAAAUAACAUUUUCAUUGUGUGAUGAUGUGUUUGUUUGACCUUGCGCUUUGUGCCCUCUAUAAAAAUCUAAGUCAGCCA
This is a long non-coding RNA of Gymnodraco acuticeps, 1113 nucleotides long. RefSeq lists it as uncharacterized. The transcript has 3 exons. The record is from RefSeq and is a predicted model, not a curated record. NCBI's taxonomy places the organism in Eukaryota, Metazoa, Chordata, Actinopteri, Perciformes, Bathydraconidae.